GCAGUCAACGCGAACGUUUCCUUCGGGGAACUAGUAGAGUGGCGCACGGGUGAGUAACGCGUAAGUAAUCUACCCUCGCAUUCGGGAUAACCCACCGAAAGGUGUGCUAAUACCGGAUACGUCUCAUUUAAUAUCUUUUGAUGAGAGAAAGGUGGCCUCUUGAAUCAAAGCUACUGUGCGGGGAGGAGCUUGCGUACCAUUAGCUAGUUGGUAGGGUAACGGCCUACCAAGGCGAUGAUGGUUAGCGGGUCUGAGAGGAUGAUCCGCCACACUGGAACUGGAACACGGACCAGACUCCUACGGGAGGCAGCAGUGAGGAAUAUUGCGCAAUGGGGGCAACCCUGACGCAGCGACGCCGCGUGGAUGGUGAAGGCCUUCGGGUUGUAAAAUCCUGUCAGAUGGGAAGAAGUGUGUAUCACCCAAUACGUGAUACAUUUGACGGUACCAUCAAAGGAAGCACCGGCUAACUCCGUGCCAGCAGCCGCGGUAAUACGGAGGGUGCAAGCGUUGUUCGGAAUUACUGGGCGUAAAGCGCGCGUAGGCGGCUAGAUAAGUCAGAUGUGAAAGCCCGCGGCUCAACCGUGGAAGAGCAUUUGAAACUGUCUAGCUUGAGUACUGGAGGGGGUAGUGGAAUUCCCGGUGUAGAGGUGAAAUUCGUAGAUAUCGGGAGGAAUACCGGUGGCGAAGGCGACUACCUGGCCAGGAUACUGACGCUGAGGUGCGAAAGCGUGGGGAGCAAACAGGAUUAAGAUACCCUGG
This 759-nucleotide ribosomal RNA is filed under the name uncultured Desulfobacterales bacterium. Its description in RNAcentral is "bacterial SSU rRNA". It matches the Rfam family "Bacterial small subunit ribosomal RNA", at positions 57 to 790 of the family's 1533-position model. The record is from RNAcentral. Lineage: Bacteria; Pseudomonadati; Thermodesulfobacteriota; Desulfobacteria; Desulfobacterales.